ACCCAUGAGCAAAAUCUCAACUUUAUUAGAAGAGACGCAUUUAUUAGAUAAAAAGCCAAUGCAUGCUUUUACAGUAUGAAAAUUGGUGAUUUAUAAUAACUUAGCAAAUCGCAAAGUGAAAACAGGCGAUAAAUCAUUCAAGUUUCUGACCUAUCAGCUUUCGACGGUAUGGUAUUGGCUUACCGUGGCAGUGACGGUUAACGGGGGAUUAGGGUUCGAUUCCGGAGAGGGAGCCUGAGAAACGGCUACCACAUCUAAGGAAGGCAGCAGGCGCGCAAAUUACCCAAUUCUAACAGUUUGAGAGAGGUAGUAACAAGAAAUAACAAUACAAGGCAGUUAAAAUGCUUUGUAAUUGGAAUGAUAGAAAUUUAAACCCUUUUUAAAGUAUCAAUUGGAGGGCAAGUCUGGUGCCAGCAGCCGCGGUAAUUCCAGCUCCAAUAGCGUAUAUUAAAAUUGUUGCAGUUAAAAAGCUCGUAGUUGAAGUUCUGCUAAAAGUAACCGGUCUGCUUUGAAUAAAAGUGGUAUCUUGGUAUGUAUUUAGCAAUGAUGUCCUUUGAAGUGUUUUUUACUUUAUUGUAAUAAAGCAUAUUCAGGACUUUUACUUUGAGAAAA
This 612-nucleotide ribosomal RNA is filed under the name Hepatozoon canis. Its description in RNAcentral is "SSU rRNA". It matches the Rfam family "Eukaryotic small subunit ribosomal RNA", at positions 167 to 765 of the family's 1831-position model. Lineage: Eukaryota; Apicomplexa; Hepatozoidae. The record is from RNAcentral.